RNAcentral lists this ribosomal RNA (394 nucleotides) under uncultured bacterium. RNAcentral describes it as "bacterial SSU rRNA". It matches the Rfam family "Bacterial small subunit ribosomal RNA", at positions 775 to 1164 of the family's 1533-position model. The record is from RNAcentral.
GGAUUAGAUACCCUGGUAGUCCACGCCGUAAACGAUGAGUGCUAAGUGUUAGAGGGUUUCCGCCCUUUAGUGCUGAAGUUAACGCAUUAAGCACUCCGCCUGGGGGAGUACGGUCGCAAGACUGAAACUCAAAGGAAUUGACGGGGGCCCGCACAAGCGGUGGAGCAUGUGGUUUAAUUCGAAGCAACGCGAAGAACCUUACCAGGUCUUGACAUCCUUUUGCCUUCCCUAGAGAUAGGGCGUUCCCCUUCGGGGGACAAAAGUGACAGGUGGUGCAUGGUUGUCGUCAGCUCGUGUCGUGAGAUGUUGGGUUAAGUCCCGCAACGAGCGCAACCCUUGAUCUUAGUUGCCAGCAUUCAGUUGGGCACUCUAAGGUGACUGCCGGUGACAAACC